RNAcentral lists this ribosomal RNA (492 nucleotides) under uncultured bacterium. RNAcentral's name for it is "partial 16S ribosomal RNA". It matches the Rfam family "Bacterial small subunit ribosomal RNA", at positions 34 to 507 of the family's 1533-position model. The record is from RNAcentral.
AUCGCCCGCUUUCUUUAGGCCUAACACAUGCAAGUCGAACGGCAGCACAGUAAGAGCUUGCUCUUACGGGUGGCGAGUGGCGGACGGGUGAGGAAUACAUCGGAAUCUACUUUUUCGUGGGGGAUAACGUAGGGAAACUUACGCUAAUACCGCAUACGACCUACGGGUGAAAGCAGGGGAUCUUCGGACCUUGCGCGAUUGAAUGAGCCGAUGUCGGAUUAGCUAGUUGGCGGGGUAAAGGCCCACCAAGGCGACGAUCCGUAGCUGGUCUGAGAGGAUGAUCAGCCACACUGGAACUGAGACACGGUCCAGACUCCUACGGGAGGCAGCAGUGGGGAAUAUUGGACAAUGGGCGCAAGCCUGAUCCAGCCAUACCGCGUGGGUGAAGAAGGCCUUCGGGUUGUAAAGCCCUUUUGUUGGGAAAGAAAAGCAGCAGGUUAAUACCCCGCUGUUCUGACGGUACCCAAAGAAUAAGCACCGGCUAACUUCGUG